GAUGAAGAACGUAGCGAAAUGCGAUAAGUAAUGUGAAUUGUAGAAUUCAGUGAAUCAUCGAAUCUUUGAACGCACAUUGCGCCCCUUGGUAUUCCGAGGGGCAUGCCUGUUCGAGCGUCAUUAUAACCCUUCAAGCUCAGCUUGGUGUUGGGGCCUGCUGUAACUGGUAGCCCUUAAAAUCAGUGGCAGUGCUAUUAGGCUCUAAGCGUAGUAAUUCUUCUCGCUAUAGUGUGUAGUGAGCGCUUGCCAGAACCCCAAACUUUUAUAUGAUUGACCUCGGAUCAGGUAGGGAUACCCGCUGAACUUAAGCAUAUCAAUAAGCGGAGGA
This 328-nucleotide unclassified non-coding RNA is filed under the name soil metagenome. Its description in RNAcentral is "partial contains 5.8S ribosomal RNA, internal transcribed spacer 2, and large subunit ribosomal RNA". The stretch from base 1 to 120 matches the Rfam family "5.8S ribosomal RNA", at positions 35 to 154 of the family's 154-position model. The record is from RNAcentral.